AACUUUUAACAAUGGAUCGCUUGGCUCUCGCAUCGAUGAAGAACGCAGCGAAAUGCGAUAAGUAAUGUGAAUUGCAGAAGUCAUUGAAUCAUCGAAUUUUUGAACGCACCUUGCGCUCCCUGGUAUUCCGGGGAGCACGCCUGUUCGAGUGUCGUGAAAUUCUCAAACCGGGAUGCUCUUUUUUGUUUCUCGGCUGCGUGUUGGGCUUUGCAGUUCCUUUGGUUGGGAUGGCUGGCCUCAAAAGCAUUAGCUGGCUUUUAAUGUGGCAUUGGUUCUACUCAGCGUGAUAAUGAUCUGACCGCCGAGGACAUCUUUCGAGAUGGCCAAUUCUCAUUUGGGCUGCUUCUAAUUUUGGUUGAGCAGAUUCUGAAUCUUCUCCACUUUUCAGCUUUUGACCUCGAAUCAGGUGGGACUACCCGCUGAACUUAAGCAUAUCAAUAAGCGGAGGCU
This 450-nucleotide unclassified non-coding RNA is filed under the name uncultured Clavulina. RNAcentral's name for it is "sequence contains ITS2". The stretch from base 1 to 154 matches the Rfam family "5.8S ribosomal RNA". The record is from RNAcentral. Lineage: Eukaryota; Fungi; Basidiomycota; Agaricomycetes; Cantharellales; Hydnaceae.